Molecule: ribosomal RNA, 120 nt
Filed under: Castor canadensis (American beaver)
Lineage: Eukaryota; Metazoa; Chordata; Mammalia; Rodentia; Castoridae
Source: RNAcentral
GUCUAUGGCCAUAGCACCCUGAAUGUGCCUGAUCUUGUCUGGUCUCGAAGGCUAAGCAUGAUUGGGCCUGGUUAGUACUUGGAUGGAAGACAGAUCUUCAGAAAAGGCUGCUCAGGGACA